This 639-nucleotide long non-coding RNA is filed under the name Mastacembelus armatus (zig-zag eel). RNAcentral describes it as "lncRNA (ENSMAMG00000028332.1)". The record is from RNAcentral. Lineage: Eukaryota; Metazoa; Chordata; Actinopteri; Synbranchiformes; Mastacembelidae.
CAAACACCAGAAUUCUCCCCGGUGGGCGUGUCUUUCACAUAACGUGUUCCUCACAAAGAAAUCCCAACCUGGGAUGUAUGUAGUCCGACGUCAAGCCGCCAUUUCAAAAGCUAAAGAAGCAGCAGGAAUUUUUGUACAUUUUUUUUUAAUUUUUCUAAUAUAUUUUUUUAUUUUUAUUAGCGAGUAGGAAAAUCAUAGCACCUUCUGAAUCUACCUCGCCUGCACCACCGACUGAAGCCUGGAUCAUUUCAGAUGGAUGCAGACACAGGAGACACAGGAGAGAAGAUGACAGAAACUUCCAAGGAUGAGAAACCUGUAACCGAAAACAAAACCAGGGGUCGUGGGUCCAAAGGUCGUGGCCGGGGUGGUCGGAUGAGUCGAGGAGGCAUGCGUGGUGGGCGGGGCAUGAUGAAAGGGUUUGGGCCACCUGGACAUGGGAGGGGUCGAAUGAAGGAUGGAGCCAUGAAUGGACUUCCACCCAUGAGAGGAAUGGGGAGGAUGCGACCAUACCCAGACCUUAGAGGUCAUCGAGGUAGGGGUGGACCAAUGGGUAUGCGCCCUCCUCCUCCACAUCCUCCUCCUCCUCACCCCCCACCUCCUCCACACCUCAGAGGCCCCUUCCCACCCAUCCCCAGGUAA